CCGGGCCGAAGUCCGGUGGAUGAAGGGCGGAAGUAGAGUGUCUAAUCCUGCAGUCAUGGCGCAGGAAGAGGAAGAUGUUAGAGAUUACAAUUUGACUGAAGAACAGAAGGCGAUCAAGGCCAAGUAUCCGCCAGUCAAUAGGAAGUACGAGAUUUGGAUCAUACAGCAGAUGUCCGUUACACGCAUGGGGAGAUACUCUGGAG
RNAcentral lists this long non-coding RNA (203 nucleotides) under Homo sapiens (human). RNAcentral describes it as "non-protein coding lnc-ZBTB8OS-3:2". Lineage: Eukaryota; Metazoa; Chordata; Mammalia; Primates; Hominidae. The record is from RNAcentral.